ACUGACAACAAGAGAGGAGGAAGCCUGGAA
Molecule: non-coding RNA, 30 nt
Filed under: Cricetulus griseus (Chinese hamster)
Lineage: Eukaryota; Metazoa; Chordata; Mammalia; Rodentia; Cricetidae
Source: RNAcentral